RNAcentral lists this ribosomal RNA (215 nucleotides) under uncultured Staphylococcus sp. RNAcentral describes it as "partial 16S ribosomal RNA". It matches the Rfam family "Bacterial small subunit ribosomal RNA", at positions 127 to 334 of the family's 1533-position model. Lineage: Bacteria; Bacillati; Bacillota; Bacilli; Caryophanales; Staphylococcaceae. The record is from RNAcentral.
UACCUAUAAGGACUGGGAGUAACUUCGGGAAACCGGAGCUAAUACCGGAUGAUAUUUUGAACCGCAUGGUUCAAAAGUGAAAGACGGUCUUGCUGUCACUUAUAGAUGGAUCCGCGCUGCAUUAGCUAGUUGGUAAGGUAACGGCUUACCAAGGCAACGAUGCAUAGCCGACCUGAGAGGGUGAUCGGCCACACUGGAACUGAGACACGGUCCAG